AAUCGUGGAUCAGAAUGCCACGGUGAAUACGUUCCCGGGCCUUGUACACACCGCCCGUCACACCAUGGGAGUGGGUUGCAAAAGAAGUAGGUAGCUUAACCUUCGGGAGGGCGCUUACCACUUUGUGAUUCAUGACUGGGGUGAAGUCGUAACAAGGUAACCGUAGGGGAACCUGCGGUAGGAUCACCUCCUUACCUUAAAGAA
This 204-nucleotide ribosomal RNA is filed under the name Veillonella atypica. RNAcentral's name for it is "partial 16S ribosomal RNA". It matches the Rfam family "Bacterial small subunit ribosomal RNA", at positions 1340 to 1533 of the family's 1533-position model. Lineage: Bacteria; Bacillati; Bacillota; Negativicutes; Veillonellales; Veillonellaceae. The record is from RNAcentral.